Molecule: long non-coding RNA, 577 nt
Organism: Halichondria panicea
Lineage: Eukaryota; Metazoa; Porifera; Demospongiae; Suberitida; Halichondriidae
Exons: 2
Source: RefSeq, a predicted model, not a curated record
GUACAGUCACACGCACGACUGCGAGUGCAUGCACUGUACAGUCACACGCACGACUGCGAGUGCAUGCACUGUACAGUCACACGCACGACUGCGAGUGCAUGCACUGUACAGUCACACACACACACACACACACACACAUACACACACACACAGACUUACUCAAGAGAACGAUGGCCUCAAGCAAGCCUACGCUGAGCUUGAGGAUAAGUAUGCUCCUUAUCAAGAGACUAUCGACAAACAAGAGGCACAGAAUAAACUACUCACCAGCCAAACAGCCGCAGCACAACAAGAGGCCCAGAGACUGAGCGAGCAAUACGCCAAGCUAUUGGGACAUCAGAAUACUCGACAGAAGAUCAUGCACGUCAAGAAUCUCAAGGAUGAGAACGCAGCUCUAAAAGAGGAAGUCAUCAAGCUCAAGAAUGAGCUCACUCGUGUCAAGCGAACCAUGCUCCAGCGUGAGAGUGCUGGCAUCAAGGGAAAACCACUCCUCCCCCGAAACUAACCCCGUGCAUAUCAUAUAGCUACUAUAGAUACAUUGUUGUUCAUUAAUGAUUAAUGAUAUUAUAAUUAUAUCAGA